This 361-nucleotide ribosomal RNA is filed under the name uncultured bacterium. RNAcentral describes it as "bacterial SSU rRNA". It matches the Rfam family "Bacterial small subunit ribosomal RNA", at positions 541 to 904 of the family's 1533-position model. The record is from RNAcentral.
UUAUCCGGAUUUAUUGGGUUUAAAGGGUGCGUAGGCGGUUUGAUAAGUUAGAGGUGAAAUCCCGGGGCUUAACUCCGGAACUGCCUCUAAUACUGUUAGACUAGAGAGUAGUUGCGGUAGGCGGAAUGUAUGGUGUAGCGGUGAAAUGCUUAGAGAUCAUACAGAACACCGAUUGCGAAGGCAGCUUACCAAACUAUAUCUGACGUUGAGGCACGAAAGCGUGGGGAGCAAACAGGAUUAGAUACCCUGGUAGUCCACGCAGUAAACGAUGAUAACUCGUUGUCGGCGAUACACAGUCGGUGACUAAGCGAAAGCGAUAAGUUAUCCACCUGGGGAGUACGUUCGCAAGAAUGAAACUCAA